AUAAUGACGGUACUUGAGGAGGAAGCCCCGGCUAACUACGUGCCAGCAGCCGCGGUAAUACGUAGGGGGCUAGCGUUAUCCGGAUUUACUGGGCGUAAAGGGUGCGUAGGCGGUCUUUCAAGUCAGGAGUGAAAGGCUACGGCUCAACCGUAGUAAGCUCUUGAAACUGGGAGACUUGAGUGCAGGAGAGGAGAGUGGAAUUCCUAGUGUAGCGGUGAAAUGCGUAGAUAUUAGGAGGAGCACCAGUUGCGAAGGCGGCUCUCUGGACUGUAACUGACGCUGAGGCACGAAAGCGUGGGGAGCAAACAGGAUUAGAUACCCUGGUAGUCCACGCUGUAAACGAUGAGUACAGGUGUCGGGGGUUAC
This 366-nucleotide ribosomal RNA is filed under the name Clostridioides difficile. RNAcentral describes it as "bacterial SSU rRNA". It matches the Rfam family "Bacterial small subunit ribosomal RNA", at positions 466 to 833 of the family's 1533-position model. Lineage: Bacteria; Bacillati; Bacillota; Clostridia; Peptostreptococcales; Peptostreptococcaceae. The record is from RNAcentral.